UGGGGAAUAUUGCACAAUGGGCGCAAGCCUGAUGCAGCCAUGCCGCGUGUAUGAAGAAGGCCUUCGGGUUGUAAAGCACUUUCAGCGGGGAGGAAGGCGAUAAGGUUAAUAACCUCAUCGAUUGACGUUACCCGCAGAAGAAGCACCGGCUAACUCCGUGCCAGCAGCCGCGGUAAUACGGAGGGUGCAAGCGUUAAUCGGAAUUACUGGGCGUAAAGCGCACGCAGGCGGUCUGUCAAGUCGGAUGUGAAAUCCCCGGGCUCAACCUGGGAACUGCAUUCGAAACUGGCAGGCUAGAGUCUUGUAGAGGGGGGUAGAAUUCCAGGUGUAGCGGUGAAAUGCGUAGAGAUCUGGAGGAAUACCGGUGGCGAAGGCGGCCCCCUGGACAAAGGCUGACGCUCAGGUGCGAAAGCGUGGGGAGCAAACAGG
Molecule: ribosomal RNA, 429 nt
Filed under: Chloroflexota bacterium
Lineage: Bacteria; Bacillati; Chloroflexota
Description: Chloroflexi bacterium partial 16S ribosomal RNA
Rfam family: Bacterial small subunit ribosomal RNA
Source: RNAcentral